UAUUAACUCUUUCUUCGUGCCUAAUACAUGCAAGUCGAGCGAACAGACGAGGAGCUUGCUCCUCUGACGUUAGCGGCGGACGGGUGAGUAACACGUGGAUAACCUACCUAUAAGACUGGGAUAACUUCGGGAAACCGGAGCUAAUACCGGAUAAUAUAUUGAACCGCAUGGUUCAAUAGUGAAAGACGGUUUUGCUGUCACUUAUAGAUGGAUCCGCGCCGCAUUAGCUAGUUGGUAAGGUAACGGCUUACCAAGGCGACGAUGCGUAGCCGACCUGAGAGGGUGAUCGGCCACACUGGAACUGAGACACGGUCCAGACUCCUACGGGAGGCAGCAGUAGGGAAUCUUCCGCAAUGGGCGAAAGCCUGACGGAGCAACGCCGCGUGAGUGAUGAAGGUCUUCGGAUCGUAAAACUCUGUUAUUAGGGAAGAACAAAUGUGUAAGUAACUAUGCACGUCUUGACGGUACCUAAUCAGAAAGCCACGGCUAACUACGUG
Molecule: ribosomal RNA, 497 nt
Filed under: uncultured bacterium
Lineage: Bacteria
Description: partial 16S ribosomal RNA
Rfam family: Bacterial small subunit ribosomal RNA
Source: RNAcentral